Bemisia tabaci is the source of this 875-nucleotide non-coding RNA. The record is from RefSeq and is a predicted model, not a curated record. NCBI's taxonomy places the organism in Eukaryota, Metazoa, Arthropoda, Insecta, Hemiptera, Aleyrodidae.
CGCCUCUCCACUGUUGAAGACUCGCAUGUUCCUCAUUCAGUGGUCUUAGGAGUUGGUAUCAAACACUUGUUUGCAAUCUCUCUUCGAUUUUUAUUUUUUUGCACAUCGGUUUGAGUGAGUGGAAAGUGGCGCAAUCAAUAUUACUUAGUUUGAUUUUGUGAAGCUAGUUUGUGAAGUAGAGAAAUUUGAAUCGAACGUAAUCGACAACUUUUUCCGAUCUAGUGUGAUUAAUAAGGCAGUAUACAUAUACUUUUUGAAGGGAACUCUAAGUAGGACAGUUAUCAUGACGUUGAUAGUGAAAGGUAAACUGGAUGGGAACGAAUGUAAAGUGUUCGGAGCGAAUGAGCAGCAAAGGAUGAUGCUGUCAACCGCCUUUCCUGGUACAGAGAAGAAGCGAACAAACCUCUUGGGAAGUACUUCUCAUUUGGCUGUGGGUCUACCAGCACCACAUGUUAUCAACAGAUUGGCCACUUUUGGUUACAAAUCCUCCGCUUGCACUACCUCCAGUGGCGAAGCAUCCAAUCGGUCACUCAUCUGGACCUUAAAUUAUUCAACCUGACAGAAACAUCCCUCUUCAAUUUUUUGUAAGACUCAUACGGGCAAAUUACAAUUCGGUUCUCCUUCGUUCGUCAUAGCGUCACAUCAAUGCCACUACCGAUUCAUCCGAUUGCCAUCAUCAACCGAUUCUUACUGGCGCACGGUGGAUCGAGUCAUAGGGCAGGCCGGACAUGGCACAUCACGCGACUUGGUUUGCUCAUUUACGUAGUGUUUGCGCUCAUAAAACAAAUCAGGAUAUAUGUUUCUUAUGUAUUUUUCGUCGCAGAUUUCAUUUUUGAUGACUAUUUUCCUGAUUAUUGGGUUUAGAUAUGUAUUUU